AUUAUGUGAUAUAUGUAUAUAUAUUUGUGUUUGUGUGAUGUGUCUAUAUCCAUAUAUAUCACACAGACAUAUACAUAUUAUUAAUGUAUAUGAAUGAAUGAAUGGAAAUCAUAUGUGCAUAUACCUGUGUAUGUAAAUGCAUGAAUAGUUUCAAAAGAUUGCUCUAUUGCAAAAAUGAAUAAUAUGGAAAUAGGUAUCAAGUGAUAACAUUUGUAUAACCCAGUGGAAUUGCUUGUCAGCUCUGGUAGAAAAGAGGGAGGGAAAGAAAAAGUAUCAUGUAAAUGUGGAGAAAUAUUUAAAAAUAUAAACAUUUAAAUACAUGUAUGUAUGUCACACACAUUUAUAUCCAUUACAUAUUUAUAUUCUGAAACCCCAAUUCGGAUAUAAACAUAUUUGUAGUCUGAGCCUUUGCAGACUAUUGAGCUCCAAGUUAAGAAAAUAAAUCCAAUUUCCCAUUUUAUUUCUUGCCAGCUGCCUUAGCACACAUUUUGCGAAGAAGGGAGAGAAAACAAUUACCUUCAAUCCCUGGACACUGGCCUGUUCAGUGUACUCAAAUAAACCAAGCUAUCAAACCUUGAACAUUUCCAGCUCAGACGACCUUUGUCAACAACAUCUGAAUGGACCAACAUCUGAAUGGGAACAUUUUGUGAUUUAAAACACUCCAUGCCAUUCUUCCCUUUUCUGGAACAAAGUAAUAGAAGGCCUCAUGGGGACCUGCCAGCUUUAUUUCAUUCUGCACAGUGGAGUGAGCUGAACCCAGAGUCAGAAGAUGAGUUCAAAUCUUGCUUUUGACAUUUUUUGGCAGUCACUUUGGGCAAAUAAUUUAUCCACUGGAAGCCUCAAAUUUUUUAUCAGUGAAAUGGGUAUUUUGGAGCUGAAAGGAAACUAGGAGAAAACCUAGUACAAUCUCUUCAUUUUCCAGAUGAAGAAUCUGAGGCUCUGAGUAAUUUAUUCAAGGUCCUACUUUCCCUGGAAAAGUUGUUGUUCAGUCAUUUUCAGUUCUGUUUGAUUUUUUCAUGAUCCCAUUUGGGGUUUUCUUGGUAGGAAUACUGGACUGAUUUGACAUUUCCUUCUCCAGCUCAUUUUACAGAUGAAGAAACUGAGGCCAAUAGGAUUAAGUGACUUGCCCAGAGUCACACAGUUUGUGAGUGUUUGAGUCUGGAUUUGAACUCCCAAAGAUGAGUCUUCCUGACUCUAAAUCUGGCACUCUGUUCAUUAUGUCACCUAAAAGACCUGCUCUUCAAUCUGAUAGACAUUCCCUAUAAGGCCCUCCCAAAUCUCUCCAAUAUUAGUUCCUACUCUUCCUUGUAAAGACCCUUUGAUCUAGUUCGACUGGAUAUUUGCACACAUUUCUAUGUGUUUGUAUUCGUGCUGCUUCUGAAUUCUGGGGACCUUCCUGAAUCGCUCCUUUUCCAGAUGCAAUGCAACCUACUGAAGUCCCUCCUCCACCCUGAAGUCUUCCCUGACUACCCUAGGAGAAAGGAGAUGAUUUCUCCUUUCCCUGAGUCCCAGGGUACUCACUUUCUGAACCUCUGUUUUUGGCAGUAGUGGAGGGGAGAAUUAUAAUGCUUAUAAUAUAAACAUCUCCUCUGUCACAGGGUUGUUUUGAGAAUCAAAUAUAAUUAGUAUGAUUACAGCAAUCUGCAUAGCGAGUUUGGGGGCUUUGUACAAGGUACUUUUCCUCUUUGGGUCUGUUUACUCAUCUGUAACAUGAGGGUAUGGAUUAGAUUACUGCAGUAGUCUCUUCCAGCUCUAACAUACGAUGACUGUAAGAGUCUAAGCUUUUUUCCAAAUCUGAAAUGCUAGGAUUCUAGGAAACCUAAAGAAUUUUCAAAGUCCCUGUUUCAAUCCAUCCUCCAAAAGAAAUCCCCUUCACUUAGCAGAACCAAGAAAACAACAUAUACAAAGACAACAAUGAUGCAAAUGGAACGACUAAUCACUUACACAAAAAUAAAUAUUGUAAUGUUAAAAAGAACAAUUCUGGCCGCAAAGAAGACUCCUCUUCAGGGGUGAGAGUUCCACGAGUGGAGAACAUUUUCAGAGUCUUUUGAUACUGAUCAAUUAUGCUGAUUUUUCUUCUCUUUCUUUUUGCCCUUAAAAUAUUAUCUGUUAUGACAUGGCUCUCUGGGAGAGGGGAAGAUAUUGAAGUGAUGGGGAAACUAGGUGGCUCAAUAGAUAGAGUGACGCCUGGAGACAGGAGUUCAAAUCUGGCCUCAGACAACCUGGGCAAGUCAUUUAAUCCCCUUUGCCUAGUCCUUACUGCUCUUCUGUCUAGUAAUAUAUAACUUAGUAUGAAUUCUUUGACAUAUGGUAGGGUGUUUUGUUUAAAAAAAAAGAUACUGAUGGGAAAUUUUGAUUAUAUAUAUGCAUAUAUAUAAAGAAAUCAAUAAACAUUUCAAAAAAGUUUUUGGAAAAAAAAGAAAUUCACUAUAAGUAAUCAUGUGCUCCUAUAUUUCCAUGACGGGGGAUUCCUCCUGAAUAGCUCAUUCCACUUUGGUUUGAAUCAUUAAGCAAUUUUUUAUUAUAUCAAACUGAAAAAAAAGGAACAAACCCAAACACUGAAGUUUCUUCCCUCUGGGUCCAACGAGAACAAAUCUAAUCCCUCAUUUGGCUCUGGAUACUUAGAAUUGACCAUCAUUUUUCUAGAUGCAAUUACCAAAGCAAACCUCCAACUCCAAAGGGACAGAGCAAGAACUAAAAAAUAAUACUGGUUAAUUGAUUAAUAUCUAUCAUGUGCCUUGUCUCCUCACUAGCACUGUAAGAAUCUGGAAGGCAGGACCCUGUCUUAUUCUUCUCCGAUAUUUCCUACACUUUUAUCACAUUCUAUGAAAAACAAAAAGUUAUCUAGCUUGUCCCUUCCCUUAAACGCCACAUAUUGGAACAAACAGGUGUGGCAAUUCUCCAAUUAAACACCUCUAUUUUUUCAUUCAUCUGCUUGCUGGAAAUGAGCUGCUGUUUAUUUAACUAAUUGGACUAAACCACUCCGGCUUACAAUUGUAAACAGAGGUGGGCAAACUGAAUUAAUUUAAACAAUGUGAGUGGGGCCUUUCUGGCUUAGCCAAGGAUCAUAAAGUUAAUGUGGAAUAACAGGAUGAUUAAGGCAUCCAACCCCUUCAUGAAGGGUAAUUAUACUCCCUCAGUGCUGGCGCCUGGGAGAAUUCAUUCAGGUGUACAGGCAAUUGUCUGCAGGGGAAGAGGGACACAUCUGGAGAGGAAGCAGAACCAUUCUUUCUCCAGUAAUUCUGUCCAAAUAUUUCCAUUUCUAUCACUGAACAGUGGUCUUUUGGAAUGAACCACAUUGAUUUUUUUCUUAUUAAAAUGAAAUAGAUAGUCCAACCACAUCCCACUCAAGUUUUUUGCUAAUGCCUCAUCACAGGCUCUCCAAAGCUAUACCAGAGGACUCUUAGGUCUAGUAGGGCCCACCAAAAUGGGAAAGUUUUCAGUGCAGGUCCAUUUGAUUCCCUAUAGAAUACAGGAUUUUAGCUUGCAUUCAUAGAACUUUGGAGCUAGAAAGAAGAAAUCAUCUUGUUCAACCAGCUCAUUUUACCACUAGGGGAAACAGUGUCAUGGAACAAUAGUUUGAACUGUCCAAUGCCCCAGGACCAUUUGCAAAAUCUUACAUUUACAUGAGGUAGUUCAUGCUGAUCCAAGUGAUCUAUUCUCAUUCUGCCUCCCUGCAAUUACUGUGUAUUUAUUUUAUUAUGCCUGUUUUUCUUAACUCUUGUUCAUUAUUGCCCUUCCAUCCCUCUCCAAAUAAAAUGUGAGAUCCUUGAAAUCAAUAACUUCUUUCUUUUUGCCUUUGUAUCUUUAGCAUCUAGGAAGGGGUAUGGCAAAUUUCAGUCUUUUUUUUUUCAGUUAUGUCUGACUCUUUGUGAUGCUAUUUGGGGUUUUCUUGGCAAAAAUAUGUGAGUGGUUUGCCAUUUCCUUCUCUGAAUCAUUUUACAGAUAAAAAAAAUGGAGGCCAACAGAGUUAACUGACUUGCCCAGGAUCACACUGCUAGUCUGAGGUCAGAUGUGAACUCAGGAAGAUGAAUCUUCCUGACUCCAAACCCAGCACUCUGUCCACUGUGUACUAGCUAGCUACACAGAGUUGGUGCUUAAUAAAUUCAAUUUGAAUGAAACUGAAUCAAAUAAAAAAUAGCUUUUACAUCUUUCCUUAAGCCACUGGGUGCACUUUAAGACUGUCCAAAUUCUUAAACUUGAGCUAAGUUCUUGCUCACUUACCCUAGCUCCCAAGGGGCAAUUUAACCCAUGGGUCAUUGCAAUGCAAUGUCCUGCUUCCCAAUCCAGUGAUCUUUCCACUCGACCAAAAUACUCUGGGGGUGCUGGAGCCAGCUUGAACAGUCUCGAGUGCCCAUUUCCAAAUAUUUAAUAUAAGCAUUUGUACUUUGAAAAUUCACAAAUCCUACAAAUCAGGACUUAAUUUAUUGUUUGGGUUUUUCAAAUUGUCUGGACAUAAGAAAAUGAUGAGGAGUGAUUAACAAUGUCGAUUACACUCAAAAUGUGUGUCAUGCACACAUUUUUUCCAGAAAACUGGAUGUUAAACAUUUAAUAGUAAAUCUCAUUCCUAUCCAUUCUUUUCAGUCCCAAAACAAGUUCCAUUUCUUAAUAACAACAGCUAAAUACUACCCCAGCACACAAUAGGACCAUUACUUUCCUCAUGCAUAAAAUGAGGAGGCUGGAUUAGAUAACCUCUAGUUUCUUCCAGUUCUGAUAUCCUCUUGUUCUGUAGUGCUAAAGUCCCUUCCAGACAUGACAAGCUAUGCUCUUUGAUUUUAUGGUCUCUGCCAGCUCUAUCAUCCCUUCAUUCUAUCAUUUGGAGGCCCAUCCCACAUUUGAAAUUCUCCCUCCCCCGAAUUUCCUACAACACCACAUUCUGUACCCUACUUUUGGCACUUCAUCACAUACUGCCUUAUGACACAUCUCUUAUGUUAUUGCUAUUCAAGUCCUGUAUAGUUAAUUAACUUUUCACAUGUUUAUGUCUUGUUUCCCAACUGGUCUAUGAGAAGAGGGACUGCAUGUGAUUUCUAUCUGUUUUGUCUCCAGUUGGCAACUGAGACAGGGCCCUCACCCAGAAGGUGCCCAGUACACAUUUACUGACUAAUAGGGUCUUACAGAUCUCCAGGGUUCUCUGAACUAAUAAGAUUUGAGAACCAUUCAUCUAAUUUCACUUUAAAAUUUACUGAAGAGAAAAUGGAAAGCCAGGAAAAGGAAGGAAUUGGGCUCAAGACCACCCAAAUGAUCUAAAUAUAAGACCUGAAACUUCAAAUCCAAUAUUAUUUCCACUACACAAGUCAAUACAUACUGUAAAUAAAGUCACUCCAGACUAUAAAAAAAGACCCACAAGUCUUUUUUUUUUUUGGACAUUCUAUAAUUCUCCCUGGAAUGCAGCCAUUUACAUAUGAAACCUUUGCAGACAUUAGCACAUCAUAGAUACCAUUCUUUCAAAGACUUCCUGACUGUGAUCCUACUCUUGGGGGAAGAAGGGAAAAAUAUGACCCCAGACUCUCUUCAUGGGAACUUUAAACCCAAUAUUCUCUGCUAAGCCCAACUCUCUGGUUUACCACAGGGCUAAAGAGAUGGCUCUGAUAUGCACCCUGGAGGAUAGCAUUGUUCAAUGAAAGUUGAAGAAGAAAGCAUUAAAAGCUUCAGAGCUAGAAAGCUUGUUUUGUUUGUGGUCAGAAAAAUGCAUCACAGAGACCAACAUAUAAGCCUUCUUUGGGCUGACCCAUGCACAAAGAUUUCCUUGUUUGAUAACAUCUGCCAGAACUCAUGUUCUGUGGGCAUAAUCUAGUACCAUCUCCCUGCUAAAUGGAAGCACUGGUGGAAGAUGUCACAGGGAGAGAGGGAGGAAGGAAGAAAAGGAAGGUAGAAGGAAGGAAAAAGAAAGGAAAGCGGGAAAGAAGAAAAGAAAGAAGAAAAAAAAAGGAAGUUAAGGAGGGAUAGAAGACAGAAGGAAAAAAAAAGCUUUCCCAUUCUUAUCUUGUUAAUACAGACAGAAAAGUGCUACAAAAGCACAAAGCCCUUUCUUCAUGGCUCAGAAUAACUCACUUGGUGGUCAAUAAAUUGGUGGUGAUACUUGGGCUAGUCUUUAGCAGAGUCAUCAUUCUCACAAGCUUUGGUGACUUGUACCCUGUUGGCAUAGGCUUUGGGAGCCUUGAGUCACCUUCAUGUCAUGACAAAACAUCAGAGGUAGGCUUUGGUGGAAUUGUUAUUAGAGAAACAAUAAAACCUCAUAUUUGUAUACAUAGCACCUGGCAGUUAGUGCAGUACAGCAGAAAGUGUAUAAUAUUAGCAAUCAGGAGAUCUCAGUCCAAUAUUUACUAGCAGGAACCUGACAACCCACUUCACCCCUAAACCUCAGAUUCCUAAUCUGAAAAAUAGAUCUAAAUAGCAUUUUCAUUCCAUAACUCAGUUAUUAUGAAGAAGGUGCUGUAUAAACUUCAAAUCAAGAAAGAAAUGUGAGGCAUGAUUGCUGCUUUGUCUCAUUCUCAUCUUUCUUUUUUAAUGGGAUUUAGAUGAAAACAAAAUGAUGACAAGUCACUGGUCCACUUUUCUUUUAUAUCUAAAGUUUAGCCCAGGGAAGGUAGGUGGCUUAGUGGAUUGAAAGCUAGGUCUAGAGACCAGAGUUCCUGGGUUCAAAUCUGGACUCAGACACUUCCUAGCAAUGUGACCUUGGACAAGUCACUUAAUCCCCAUUGCCUGGCCCUUACCAUUCUUCUGCACUGGAACCAAUACACAGUAUUGAUUCUAAGAAAGAAGGCAGGGUUUAAAAAAUACAGUUUAGCAGACUAUUGCACAGGUAGAUGUGAUUAAUUUUUGCAAUUGAACAAGAGUAGAAUAUAAGCUUAUCAUUUGUAUACUCAGUAAAGUUUGUUUCCAACAUAUCCAGGCAGCAGGAGUCAAAAAGAGAAAUACCAUUUAAAAUCACCUUAGACAAAAUAAAAUAUCUAGAAAUCUAUUUUCCAAAGCAAACACAGGAAUUAUGUGUUUUUUACAUUUUUACAGUGUUUUUUACACUUUACAUACAAUUAAAACUAGAUCUAAGUAAUUGGAAAAACAUUAAUUGCUCAUGGGUAAGACAAGCUAAUACAAUAAAAAUGACAAUCCUACCCAAUUUAAUUUACUUAUUCAGUGCCAUACCCAUCGAAUUACCAAGAAACUUUUUUACUGAUUAGAAAAAAUUAUAACAAAAUUCAUUUGGAAGAACAAAAGACCAAGAAUAUCCAGGGAACUAACGAAAAAAAAAAAGGUGAAGGAUGGUGACCUAGCAGUACCAGAUCUUGAACUGUACUAUAAAGCAGUAGUGAAUUGAUGGCACAUGUUAAACCCAGUGGAAUUGAGUGUCAGAUAGGGAGGGAGUUGGGAGGAGAGGAGGGAAAGAACAUGAGUUUUGUAACCAUGGAAAAAUAUUCUAAAUCAUCUAACUAAAUAAAAUUAAAAAAGCAAAAAAAACUUCAGACAACUCUAGCAGCAGGCAAGAUGGAGAGAACGACAAGAAUUGUGCUAAUUUCUCCUACUAGAUGUCCAUCUUUUGAAAGUUUUUCAUUCUAAGUAGUUUCUAGAUACAAGUAUUUAGUAUGAUAACAUCUAUUAAAAAUCAUUGGUUCAUAAGUUUUUAAUGGACCAUUGUUAUGUAUAGUUUGGUAGCCAUAAACAAUAGUUGUUAUAUGUUCCAGUUCUUAUAUGGUUUAUUUGUUGAAAUCUCAAGGAAUUUUGUGAUUUUGCAUUUGAAAUAUGGAGAUUUGUCCUAUGAGGCAUUAGAAAGUAUAGUCAUCUUCCAGUGCAUAAUUCUAGCCACUGGUCACUUCUUUCUAAAUAUCCAGUAGAUGCUAAAUUUUUGUACCCUGCAGUGAUAGGUUGCACAGUUUUAACCAAUUCAAUGCAUAAUCUAUGUUGAUCAAUAAUUUGUUCAGGUUCCUUAAGGAUAAACUUUCUGUAAUUUCUAGUGGCAAUGGCCUGAUUCUGAAUCACUAUAAUGAACUCUUCUGGCUCUGUAACCAAAGUUGCAUGAUGGCCUUUAUUUCAAUGCCUCUUUGCUGACUGGUUGAAUUCUUGUGGAUGCCACCUGUGAAAUGCCUUAGGAUUCUAUGGUUGGAUUUUAAUGGUUUACAGGCUCUUUCUGAAGAUAAACUACUUUCAUUCUAAUAGACAAUUUCAUCCUCAGUGUCAGCAUUUUUAUAAAGUGAGGUCUGUUCUAAGAGUUUUGUUUUAAAACUUUAACUGGUUUUUAAGGUGCUCUGAAACUCUCAUUUGUUUUCCUCCUUUCUCAGGAAGAAGUAUUAAUUUUUCCAUAGCUGCCUUGGGGUGAUGAGCCCUGUAUUUAAUUAACAUUUUGUCUGGACACUUUCAAGAUCUAUUAUCAUUCAUUUUAUUGUUCCAAAAUUAGACAUUAAGUCCAUAUGGCAUAGAUGUCAAUUUCUCAAAAGAUUUUCUUCCUAUUAAACUUUAAUUUUAAGAUCCUAGUCAGUUUCUUACAUGCCUGGAGUAGGCUAAGAAACUUGUAAACAUUGUCUUCAGCCAUUGGUUCAAUUAAAUCUCUGGAAUCAAUCUCAAAGCAGUCAGACACUAGUCUUUCUUGGAAAACAUUACUAACUUUUUCACUGAGUCCAAAUGACAUUUUGAUAUUGUUGAAGGUUUUCACAGAAUUUCACAGAAUAAAGAUACCUAAUAGCAUAUUAUAACCUUUAUCUUCCAUCUUAGAAUCAAUACUGUGCAUUAGUCCUAAGACAGAAGAGUGGUAAGGGCUAGGCAAUGAAGGUUAAGUGACUUGGCCAGGGUUGCACAACCAGGAAGUAUCUGAGCUUAUAUUUGAACCCAGGACCUCCCACCUCUAGGCUUGACUCUCAAUCCACUGGGCCACCUAGUUGCCUCCAGUUGAUAUAAUAUUGAUGAAAUCUUCCAAUGCCUUUCUUGCUAUUUGUUGUUUAGUUGUUUCAGUUGUGUCUGACUCUUUGUGACCCCAUUUGGGAUUUUCUUGGCAAAGAUAUUGGUGGUUUGCCAUUUCCUUCUCCAGCUUAAACAGAGGAGAAAUCAGAGGUAAAGAGUGUCAAGUGUCUUGUCCAGGGUCACACAGCUAGCAAAUAUCUGAGGCCAGAUUUGAACCCAGGAAGAGAAGUCUUGCUGCUAUUAGUCCUGGAACCCUAUCCACCGUACCAUAUUGCUGUCCUGAUGUCUUCCAAAGUUUUUAAUGGUUUUUCUCAUGCUACUGCUGCUAUGAUGGUAUUUGAUGUUUGUCCUUUGGAAGAUUCCUCCAUAGCACACCUUUCUUCUUAGACUGUAGUAAUAACAAUGGCAGCAGCAUGUACUAUUGUGUGCAGAUCCUAAAAUGUCUUUAUACUCUCACGUAUUACAGGAGAAUAUAUUUGUUCAUCACAGUUACAGCAGAUACUAAUUUUUGGAAUUACUUUGGUUUGGUAUAAUUAGUCUAUUAGCUGCAUUCAGGAAAAAGGGCUUUUUGAAAUGUCAUUUCUAAAUAUGCCUAUCUGCUUUUCAAAACCAUGUGAGACAUCAAAAUUACCUUCCUUAUCUGUUUAAUUAUUAGGUAACACUUGUGGAGUUUGUAUAAAUUGCAGUAUUACAACAUCUUGAGGUUCUCUGGCAUUUUCCUCUUCCAAUAGACAUUAACUCCACAAUUUCCAUUCAUUUCUUUAAUGGAGGCUUAGGAAUUAAGUUUUCAUUGCCUAGGAUUGAUCCACAAGAGGCUGUCAAGUAACAUGGAGCUGAAAGGAUCAUUAAGAAAAAACAGGAUGAAGUCUUUGCCUAUCACUGAUAAAAUGGUUCCAGUUUUGUUCUGAUAUACUAUUGGUGAAUAAUGAAAACAUUCAUGCUUUGAGUCCUCUUCAUGUACAUCUGUGGUUGGCUAACUUUGAUGGUGGCCACUAUCUUCAAUGUGGCAUUUAUAGCAGGUGGGAUACUGAUAUUUUUACUUUUUCUGACUAGAGUACCAAAAUAGGAAAGGAUGCCACUCAUUUUGCUGCCUUUGGCAUCAAGCUUUUCAUCACGAUGGUUCUGUGUAGUCCUACAUCACAACCCUCUGUCACUCCAUCUAUUUCUUUGAGUCAUGUGAGCUACCCAAUCAGUGGUAUCACCAGAGGCCAAUCAGUUGGAAUUUCAGGAUUCUUGCUAGGCCUUUACUGAUACCACAGUAAUCUCAAAGUGUACAUAGUCCCCAAUGUCUAUCCCCCUGGAUAACAUUCUCCUACUUUGUCACUGAAUACCCCAACUCAUGACAUCAAUAAGGACUGGAUUUUGAGGGGAUAUUAUAAUUAUUUUUAACUUUGAUUUUUAUUAUUGUUUCAGUCAUGAAGCACUUUAAAUUUAUUUUCUCGUUAAAUUCUCCUAACUUCCUGGAAAGGUAGGCACAGAACAAUAUUAUCCUUAUACUGAAAAUGAGGAAAUAGUCCCAGAAAAGAAAAGUGACUUUUCCAAGGUCAUAUAUCAAAUUGAGGCAGAGCUAGAAUGAGAAUUCAAGCCUCCUGACUCUUUCCUAGUUCCGUUCUUUUUUUCUGCCCCAUUACAAUGCUUCCCUGAACAAGAGAUAAUGUACCAUAGAAUAUAAUCAGUAUUAGAAGAAUUAAGGGUCAAUGUAGAAAGCAAGAGAAAUUGAGGUAAGAAGGAAACACGAAACUAUCUAGCUAUGAUAGCUGGCUUCAAAGGAUGAGUUCUAUGGGUAAAAAAAAAAUCACUCCUCCCUGCUACACCUUCCUCCAUCCACCUAAUUCAUAAAAUAAGUAAAUAAAUGAUGCUCUGGUUAUACAUGCCUAGCAUGGGAGACCUAGAUGAAUAAGAUAAAGUCUUAGUACUGAAAAAAAUCUCUAGCAUAGUGUUGACAGGACACAAAUAAUUAUGAUACAAAGAAAAAUGUGAUAUAGUUGUUCAAAUCCUUAUCACCUUUCAUAUGGAUUACUAUCAUCAGUUCCUGAUUUAUCCCCUGCCUCUAAUCUCUCUUGUCUAACCCAUGCUCUUCCUAAAUCAUAUCUGCCCAUAUCCCUCCCCUUCUUAGCAGAUUCUUAUUGCUUAUGGGAUUUAAAAAAAAUUAAAAAGAGGGAGAGAAGGGAGACAAUUUGAACCUUAUAAUUUUGGAAAAU
This is a non-coding RNA of Monodelphis domestica (gray short-tailed opossum), 11090 nucleotides long. The record is from RefSeq and is a predicted model, not a curated record. Lineage: Eukaryota; Metazoa; Chordata; Mammalia; Didelphimorphia; Didelphidae.